UCACUCUUGUUUCUUUUCAGGUUGUAUAAAUCUUUCCCCUUUUACUAAGGAUUUUUGUGGGGAGGAGCAACAAGAGUCUAUCUCAAUUAUUUGAUGCUCUGUGAAAGCAGAGCU
Molecule: small nuclear RNA, 114 nt
Organism: Phyllopteryx taeniolatus (common seadragon)
Lineage: Eukaryota; Metazoa; Chordata; Actinopteri; Syngnathiformes; Syngnathidae
Product: U5 spliceosomal RNA
Exons: 1
Source: RefSeq, a predicted model, not a curated record